GAUGAACGCUAGCGGCAGGCCUAACACAUGCAAGUCGAGGGGUAGCAGGAUUAAGCUUGCUUAAUUGCUGACGACCGGCGCACGGGUGCGUAACGCGUAUGCAACCUACCUUAUACUGGGGUAUAGCCCGGAGAAAUUCGGAUUAAUCCCCCAUAGUACUAAUGAAUCGCAUGGUUUAUUAGUUAAAGCAUUGCGGUAUAAGAUGGGCAUGCGUCCUAUUAGCUAGAUGGUGAGGUAACGGCUCACCAUGGCUACGAUAGGUAGGGGGCCUGAGAGGGUGGUCUCCCACACUGGUACUGAGACACGGACCAGACUCCUACGGGAGGCAGCAGUGAGGAAUAUUGGUCAAUGGGCGCAAGCCUGAACCAGCCAUGCCGCGUGCAGGAAGAAUGCCCUAUGGGUUGUAAACUGCUUUUACUUGGGAAUAAACCUCUUUACGUGUAGAGGGCUGAAGGUACCAAAUGAAUAAGCACCGGCUAACUCCGUGCCAGCCGCCGCGGUAA
RNAcentral lists this ribosomal RNA (503 nucleotides) under uncultured bacterium. RNAcentral's name for it is "partial 16S ribosomal RNA". It matches the Rfam family "Bacterial small subunit ribosomal RNA", at positions 28 to 523 of the family's 1533-position model. The record is from RNAcentral.